UUCCAAAUUUUCCUAUCCAUUUUUCUACUUCCCAUCUUUUGCAGAUAAAGUCAUGUUGAAGCCCUAAUGCCCAAAGUAUUUGGAGGUGGGACCUUUGGGAGGAAUUAAGUUUGAGGGAAGAACACUCAAAUGGAAUUAGUGCCCUUACAGAAGAGAUACAAAACAGAAGUUUCUCAGCCACAUGAAGACACAGCAAGAAGAGGAACUCAGACCAGUCUUUGGCUGCCAGGUCACACCCCCUGCAAAAGAUUUUGCUAGAAAAUAAGCAGCCUGGACAGUUUGCGGACAUCCAGGAGCUGAGAGGGAGCUGCCGGAAGUCACCAGUCCUGCUGUUAUCAUUUGUGUCACUUGCUUGUUUUACCUUUUUAUAUAGAAGAAAAAUCACAGUGGGGGUAUUUGUUGCAACUAAACCUCAAGGAUGUCUCUACAUCUUUCUCCAAGUUGGCCAACAGCAUGGUCCUGUCUAUACUCUAUCUUGGAUCCAAACCCACUGUGGUCUUAUAUGGAUAUGAUGCAGUGAAGGAAGCUCUGAUAGAUCGGGGUGAAGAAUUCCUUGACAGAUCUUAUGUUCCCAUUGCUGAGGAGACCCUAAAAGGAAAUGGAGAAACACAACCCAAAGUUCAUGAAGAAAUUGACCAUGUGAUUGGACAUCACCAAAUCUCCUGAAUGAAGGACAAGAUGAGGCUGCCUUAUACAGAGGCCGUGUGUUGAAUGAGAUA
RNA transcript from Talpa occidentalis (Iberian mole), 719 nucleotides. It is a transcript of the gene named cytochrome P450 2C23-like, with no coding region annotated. The record is from RefSeq and is a predicted model, not a curated record. Lineage: Eukaryota; Metazoa; Chordata; Mammalia; Eulipotyphla; Talpidae. The transcript has 4 exons.